This 562-nucleotide ribosomal RNA is filed under the name uncultured Bifidobacterium sp. RNAcentral's name for it is "bacterial SSU rRNA". It matches the Rfam family "Bacterial small subunit ribosomal RNA", at positions 147 to 710 of the family's 1533-position model. The record is from RNAcentral. Lineage: Bacteria; Bacillati; Actinomycetota; Actinomycetes; Bifidobacteriales; Bifidobacteriaceae.
CUCCUGGAAACGGGUGGUAAUGCCGGAUGUUCCACAUGAGCGCAUGCGAGUGUGGGAAAGGCUUUUUGCGGCAUGGGAUGGGGUCGCGUCCUAUCAGCUUGUUGGUGGGGUAACGGCCUACCAAGGCGUUGACGGGUAGCCGGCCUGAGAGGGCGACCGGCCACAUUGGGACUGAGAUACGGCCCAGACUCCUACGGGAGGCAGCAGUGGGGAAUAUUGCACAAUGGGCGCAAGCCUGAUGCAGCGACGCCGCGUGCGGGAUGGAGGCCUUCGGGUUGUAAACCGCUUUUGUUCAAGGGCAAGGCACGGUUUCGGCCGUGUUGAGUGGAUUGUUCGAAUAAGCACCGGCUAACUACGUGCCAGCAGCCGCGGUAAUACGUAGGGUGCAAGCGUUAUCCGGAUUUAUUGGGCGUAAAGGGCUCGUAGGCGGUUCGUCGCGUCCGGUGUGAAAGUCCAUCGCUUAACGGUGGAUCCGCGCCGGGUACGGGCGGGCUUGAGUGCGGUAGGGGAGACUGGAAUUCCCGGUGUAACGGUGGAAUGUGUAAAUAUCGGGAAGAACACC